Felis catus (domestic cat) is the source of this 2778-nucleotide long non-coding RNA. RefSeq lists it as uncharacterized. The record is from RefSeq and is a predicted model, not a curated record. The transcript has 3 exons. NCBI's taxonomy places the organism in Eukaryota, Metazoa, Chordata, Mammalia, Carnivora, Felidae.
GGCCCCCAAGAUGGCGUCGUCCCCCCCAAGAUGGCGUCGUCCUUGCUGGCCUGGCGCGCUUCCUCACUUGUGAGCUGCAGGGGGAGAAGUGGACCGACGCUUCUGGGCUGGGUCACGGAUGGAGCCUCCUAGGAAUCUUGGGCACUUUCGAGGGGCCCCGUCCGACUGGGCUUCACUCUGGGUUCCUCCAGACAGCGGUUUCUCUGUUCCAGUUGGUGCUAAUCAACCAUGAGAUGAUUUCGGUGAACUACCUGCCAUCAAUCAAAAUGUGUAUUUCCAGCCCUUUUUUUCCGAACUGCGUGUUUUCCUUCUGGGGCUGUUUCUGCGCCGUGGCCUCAUCCCCAUGAACGUCUGUACAUUGGCUCUGCGCCUUGGUGUUUGCCGCCGUCUGUUGCUUUUGUCUUCGCGGUCGGUCCGCUCUGCGCAGCGGGAGCAGAUGCCUCCUGCACCCGGUUAGGUCGUGCCUGCCGCCUGCCGGCUGGGGUGCCACGCGCUCCUGGCUCCUCCCCUUCGUGAACACGUGCAGGCUCCCCGUCAGGUUAUGAGUGUCUAGGUUUACUGACCUUGGCUCCUGUCACUGCCCUCCAGCUUUCCUUGGGACUGAAUGACAAGCAUUUCCUGUGCCCCCACAGAUGUCCGCGGCACAACCUAAGGGUGACCAGGUGGUGCCGACUCUGGUGGGGAUUUGGAAGUACUGGCACUCGGGGCCUGGGGGACCCAGACCCGGUGUUGCUUAGUGACUCAUUCAGCAGCUACUUAUCGAGCACUUUGUAGCGCGGAACAAGGGACCAGAGCCUAGCCCUGGCGGCCUGAAAGUGACACCGCGGGUGGAGGGCACAGAGUGUUGACUGAGCCUGGAUCCCUGCUGGUCACUGGAUGGCAAUUCAGAUGUGUUUACCUCCGGCAUUAAGGGACUGAUGUACCACUUGCACCAGUGCCGGCUCCAUCACUCCUGGAAGAUUCGCAUGCUCUGUGCUCACACCCGCAUCGUGUCCCAGAGGAAAAUGCAGGCUGGCGGUCUUGAGGCCACCCCCAAGCUAAGCGCCGAAGUUCUGUGCACGCGGGGAAAGAGACCUCACAGGCAGGUGUACACGCCCAUGUCACGUGGGGACGCGGACGCACCGCUUGAUGCGCCUUGGGUAAGAAUGUGUUUCAGAGGAUUCUUUGGAAACGUCAUGGGUUUUCCUGAAAAACCGUGGUGAUGAAUUGUCUAGCUAACAUCUAGUUCAAACUUUCUAGCCAAAUGUAAUCACUCCUUCCGGUAACAGUAUGAUAAAUUUUAACUAUUGACUAAUCAAGAGAGGAAUAAGGGAAAACCUUGAUUUCAUUCAUGGCUUGCUAACUUGUUUUUCAUUGAAAACAUAAGCAAUGUGGUUUUAAAAACCUUUAGAUUAAGAAUUUACAAAAUAAAUUCUUAUAAAAUAACAUACUUUAAGUAAACUAAUUAUUUAACUUACAUACUCAGUAAUUUACUAUAAUAUACAAUAACAAUAAUAAUAUGAUAAAUUGAAUUUAGGUUUUAAAUCGCCAGAUUCCCUUAGAAACGACCUGUCAUUCCUUUGGUAUGUAGAGAAGUCUGAUAACCAUUUCAUCAUGGAUGCUUGUUAAAAAUUCCCCGUCUCCUUAGAUGCUAGCAUGGGGGUUUGGGGAGUAAUUUGUAAUUUUCCCCUUGAUUUUACUGAAGGACAAUCAAAAUAAUUGCUUGAUUUCACCCAUAAAUUAAUGUUCAGCUGAAGAGGAAAUGAAACGUAGGGCAGCGCAGGCAGGGUCACCCUGAGGUGUUUCAGGCACACCUGGUCGAGGGUCUGAGCUUUCAUUACGUGGGCUUCCUUCUUGAUGGUUUGUUAGGAUGAACGACCUUAGUCCUCGCAACCUAAUUUGUGAAAAAUUAGCUAAAAAUUUAUUCUAGCCUAUAAACAUCUCCAACUCCUCACGACCGAAACCUUCCCUUGAAAGGUAAAGCUACAUUAAUAGCACAGGGAAGAAAUUCCUUAUGCAAAAGUAAAUCUAAAGAUUGAUCUCUUCAUGACUCUCAGCCCUAGAUGUGCAAUACAAUUCUGCUGUGAUGCGUUUUUAGCGAUAAUUAUCUGGCCACCUGAUCUCCUGGAUGUUCACACCCAGUGCCGUUACGGACCUAAACUCCAGUGUCUGCAAGAAUAAUAUAAUCGUUUAAGCCCCAAAGUCUCAUUAGCGUGAUCUGUCCUGGACGUUAAUCUCCUGCCGGGACCUCCCCCAGCAGCUGCCCAGGUGCCCACCUGGGCUUCCUUUCCCAGGACAGAUAAAUUAUGGAAGCUGAGCUCCUCCAGAAGGAUCAGGAAGGUCACACUUUAAUUUACCAUCCGUGACUUGCCACCCUGCAGCUACCAGAAUGAGCACGUGGGCACGGACAAAUAAGCCGUCCCAGUGAGGCAGAGGGAGGCUCUUAGCAGGUGCCCUGUGUGUGUGGGAAAAUGAGUUUAAGGCUGGUCUUAAUUUGUGUCAUCUUAUGUAUUAUCGUGAAUUCUGCCCACCCUCUGAGACCCUGCCCGGGAAACCUAAGGCUGAAUUCACAGCAGAGGAGUGGAGGAAAAGACAGCACUCACUCUUGUCCAGGAAUACCCCCCACUCAUUUUCGUCCUUGGGUCUGGGUCCCUCAACAAGCCACUGUAGACCGUAUACAGUGAAAAAGGCGGCCGUUACCUUCUGUGUCUUGCGUAUUUGCCACUGACGUGACCGCUGCCGUCACAGCCCGGCGUGGGACAGCUGCAACGGGAAAGAGGUAAUUACGUGGGGGCUUCG